GUGGAAUUGCUCUCUUUCUCACUCUCUCAGGUUCUCAGCCCUCUUACCGGUGAUUUCUUCUUAUCGGUUGGUCACUCCGUCAGAAGAGUUCCGAAAAUUUGGUGAUUUUCAAGGUUAUGAAGUUAAGAAUUAUCUUCUGACUUCCUCACGCAGACCACGCUGUGUCUUCGUUCCAGGUUCUAUCGUUCUGACUUCUUUCACUGUGAUUUCUUUUACUGUGAAAAUGCUUCCUAUGAAACCACUGGGAUAUGAUAAAUGCAGAAAUAAGAGAAAAAUUAAACAUGUUGAUGAUUUAGGAGAUCAUGUUGAAAAUGAUGAUGUCUCUAAUUUAGUCAAUGAACAACCUCUCAGUCCAUUCCCUUGGACAUUUAUGAUCCAAGUAAUUGGGAGAAUCUCAGUACAAAACUGAGAGAUCUAUUAGUUGAAAAAGGGCCUAGAAGAGAUCUUUUUGGGGAGAAAGGCCCAAAAGAUAAAUCCUCUAGAUGUUUCUCUUCAACAUUUUACACUCGUUAUUUACCAAAUGGAGAGAAACGUGAUAGAGAAUGGCUAGUUUAUUCAAAGGAUGUUGAUAAAGUAUUUUGUUUUUGUUGCAAGUUGUUUAAACCUUUGCCCCUAAAAUGUCAGUUAGCAAUGAAGGAUAUGGAGACUGGGAACAACUUAGUCUUUUGCUCAAAGAACAUGAAACAAGCAUUGAGCACAUCUUUCACAUGAUCACUUGGAAGGAUGUGCGUCUUACAUUGGAGAAAAAUGAAACGGUUGGUAAAAUAGUUCCUGACAAGAUUGACCAGGAGAAACAACACUGGAGAAAUGUGUUGCCAAGAAUCAUUUCAGUUGUGAAAUUUCUUGUUAAACAUAAGUUCACAUUCUUUGGAACAAAUGACAGGAUUUAUCAAAAUGAUCGUGGAAAUUUUUUUACCCAAAUUGAAAUGAUCGCAGUCUGGGAUCAAGUAAUGCAAAUGCAUAUUGGACGUGUUCAAAACAAUGAGAUUCAUUGUCAUUAUCUAGGUCGUAACAUUCAAGAGUUGAUAAUUUUGUUAGCUUCUGAAAUCAAAAGUGCAAUCAUAAAAAAAAUUAGGAAGCAAAGUAUUUUUCUGUGAUUCUUGAUUGUACUCUUGAUUCAAAUGACGAAAAAAUAAUUUCUUUGCUGUUACGAUCUGUAGAUGUUUCUACAAGUCCAACAAAAAUAGAAGAGUACUUUUUAGGGUUUUUAAAUGUGUGUUCGGGCCAAGGACUUUUUGAAGAAUUGCAAAGUGUGUUAAAAUCUCUUGACCUUAAUCUUGACGAUGUAAGAGGACAAGGAUAUGACCAUGGAUCUAAUAUGAGAGGGAGAGACCAAGGUGUACAGAAUAAGCUUUUAGAUAUAAAUCGUAGAGCAUGGUAUAUGCCAUGUGGUUGUCAUAGUCUAAACUUAACUCUUUGUGACAUUCUAGACUCUUGUAGUGAAGCAAAAUAUUUUUUUGGAGUGAUACAAAAUAUUUAUACAUUGUUUUCUCAUUGUUCAAAGUGUUGGAAAAUUUUGGAAGAUAAUGUAAAAGGUUUAACUCUUGAGCAAUUAACGAUCCCACAUUAUGAGAGUGAAAUUGAAAGUGUUAGAGCAAUAAGACUCCAUGCUCUAGAAGUAAGAGAAGCUUUACUUCAAUUAGCAGAAACUGUGCCUGACCUCAAAGUGAGGUGCCAAGCUCUUUCUUUAGCAAUAUAUGGAUUUGAUUUUGAGUUUUUUUACGCAUGAUUAUUUGGUUUGACAUACUCUCUGUUGUUGACUCUGUUAGCAAAUACUUAGAAUCUAAAGACAUGCUUAUUGAUGUUGCUAUAGAUGAGGUAAAAAGGCUGAUUAAUUUCUUUGAAGAAUAUAAAGAAACAGGGUUUACACAGGCCAUGACUGUUGCUAAAGGAAUUGCUACUGAAAUGGAAAUUGAUUAUGUGUUUAGUGAAACUUGUAAAACCCGUAGAAAGAACCAUGCUGCGAAUGUCAAUGAAUCAUCUACUGAAUCUGUUGAAGAAUCCUUUAGAAUUCAUUAUUUCUUACAUAUAGUGGAUCAAGUUAUAGGUUUAUUGAAGAGAAUGUUUGAACAGUUUCAGGCGUAUGAGGAUGUUUUUGGGUUGUUUAGUUCAGAGAAGUUAAAUUCAUUGGAUGAUAAUAAUUUGAAAUCUUGUUGUGGUCAUCUUGAAUUCAGUCUAAAGCAUGGAAAAUCUUGUGAUGUUGAUGGAAAUGAUUUAUUUGAAGAACUAAAAUUCUUACGAGGGAAUUUACCAAAAGAAAAAAUGACAGCCCUUGAAAUACUAAAUUUCAUAAAAGAACUAGGUCUUCCAAAUGCAUGCAUUGCUUAUAGAAUAUUAUUGACUGUACCUGUUACAUUGGCAUCUACAGAAAGUAGUUUUUCAAAAUUGAAGUUACUAAAAUCUUACUUGCAAUCGCCAAUAUCACAAGAAAAAUUAGAUGGACGAGAUUUGAUUUCUGUUGAAAAUGAUCUUCUAGAAAAUAUUGAUUAUGAAAAAUUUAUCAAUGAUGUUGCAACCAAAAUUGCAAUAAGAAAUGCUUCACAUUGAUACUUUGAUGCUCUCACUAGUUAUUGUUUUUUUUCUUUUUCUGCAGGUUUGCACUCAUUGACUUGCUGGGGAGAUUGAAGAUGGUUAAUUCUUCUUUGGGAGAGCAGUCACGUUUAUUUCAUCUUUGGAAGUGACAGAUCGCAUUUUUCAACAUCCGGUGUUGGUUGGUAGUCACAGGAAGUUUUGGUAGCUGUCUGUAGCUGAAAGUGUCAAGGUUGUCAAAUACAAGAUUUUAAAGUUCAGUUCACAUAUGGAAGAAAGCAUCUGGGUGAAAAGUCAAGUGUUGUGGGUGUUCGGUGGUGAUUAUCUUUCUCUGUUUUUGUUCAAGAGUUCACAAGAUUUAAGGGGUGUCGCGCGAGUUUCACCAAUUCCCAGAUCAUACAGUGUUUCUGAAAAUCGUGUUGAACCAAGAUGAUUGAGCCACAUUGGAGGAUGGUAUCACUAGCAGUCUAGCUGUGUGUGGCAGAUGUUCCGUUAACUCAGGAUGAGACCUUUCUACGUUUUAGUUUGACGGCAUUUGCUUCAACUUGAAUAUCUUAUCUGAAGAUUCUUUAGUUCAUGUUUGUUUAGAGCUUAGAUAACUAGAGCAGAUUGUAGCACUUUCUGACUCAAUAAUAUUCCUGAUAUUAACGUCAUACCUCCAUUUUG
Long non-coding RNA from Prunus mume (Japanese apricot), 3195 nucleotides. RefSeq lists it as uncharacterized. Lineage: Eukaryota; Viridiplantae; Streptophyta; Magnoliopsida; Rosales; Rosaceae. The record is from RefSeq and is a predicted model, not a curated record.